This 365-nucleotide unclassified non-coding RNA is filed under the name Hevea brasiliensis (rubber tree). Lineage: Eukaryota; Viridiplantae; Streptophyta; Magnoliopsida; Malpighiales; Euphorbiaceae. The record is from RNAcentral.
AAAAUCAACAAUCAAUUUCAUCAUAAACCAUCAAAGUUGGAGACAAAUUGAUACACAAAUGACAAAACACAAUACCCAAUCAUAGAAAAUAAAAACCAAUAAUUGAUAUAAAAAGUGAGAAAUGGAAGAAUGUUGCGAAUCUUGCAAUACUCAACACUGCAAGUGCUGCUUUAUUGGCAUGAGGUUGUGAAUUGAUGAUGGUUUGAGGCAAAUACUGGUCACCGAAAGUGCAUCAAAGAGCAAAAGCACAUUGCCUAGGCGUCUAGUUGUCUAGUCCUCGAAAUUGAAAGUGACUCAUCAGUGGUCCAAAAUAUGAGAUACACACACAAAUAAAGAAGAGAAGAGAGCAAAAAAAAAAAAAAAAA